Molecule: ribosomal RNA, 440 nt
Filed under: Attheya sp. RCC5599
Lineage: Eukaryota; Bacillariophyta; Biddulphiophyceae; Attheyales; Attheyaceae
Description: SSU rRNA
Rfam family: Eukaryotic small subunit ribosomal RNA
Source: RNAcentral
GUUGGAUUUCUGGCGGGAGCGGGUGGUCCGGCACUUAGUGUUGGUACUUUCCUGUCUCUUGCCAUCCUUGGGUCUAAGCUGUCUGGCAUUUAGUUGUCGGGCAGUGGCUGCCCAUCGUUUACUGUGAAAAAAUUAGAGUGUUCAAAGCAGGCUUAUGCCGUUGAAUAUAUUAGCAUGGAAUAAUAAGAUAGGACCUUGGUACUAUUUUGUUGGUUUGCGCACCGAGGUAAUGAUUAAGAGGGACAGUUGGGGGUAUUCGUAUUCAAUUGUCAGAGGUGAAAUUCUUGGAUUUCUGGAAGACGAACUACUGCGAAAGCAUUUACCAAGGAUGUUUUCAUUAAUCAAGAACGAAAGUUAGGGGAUCGAAGAUGAUUAGAUACCAUCGUAGUCUUAACCAUAAACUAUGCCGACUAGGGAUUUGUGGGUGUUAUUUAUGACCC